This 105-nucleotide small nucleolar RNA is filed under the name Macaca fascicularis (crab-eating macaque). Its description in RNAcentral is "Small nucleolar RNA U13 (ENSMFAG00000047942.1)". It matches the Rfam family "Small nucleolar RNA U13". Lineage: Eukaryota; Metazoa; Chordata; Mammalia; Primates; Cercopithecidae. The record is from Rfam by way of RNAcentral.
ACCCUUUUGUGGUUCAUCAGUGUGGUGGUUCAGUUUUCACACUCAUGUGUGAGACGUGCCUCCCUCCAACCUUGUUAAUAGCACAAGCACAUUACCCAUCUGACA